Molecule: unclassified non-coding RNA, 349 nt
Filed under: soil metagenome
Description: partial contains 5.8S ribosomal RNA, internal transcribed spacer 2, and large subunit ribosomal RNA
Rfam family: 5.8S ribosomal RNA (bases 1-120)
Source: RNAcentral
GAUGAAUAACGUAGCGAAAUGCGAAAAGUAAUGUGAAUUGCAGAAUUCAGUGAAUCAUCGAAUCUUUGAACGCACAUUGCGCCCGCCAGUAUUCUGGCGGGCAUGCCUGUCUGAGCGUCAUUUCAACCCUCACGCCCCUAGGGCGUGGUGUUGGGGAUCGGCCAGCGCCCUCGCGGGCGAGGCCGUCCCCUAAAUCUAGUGGCGGACCCGUCGUGGCCUCCCCUGCGAAGUAGUGAUAUUCCGCAUAGGAGAGCGACGAGCCCCUGCCGUUAAACCCCCAACUUUCUCAGGUUGACCUCAGAUCAGGUAGGAAUACCCGCUGAACUUAAGCAUAUCAAUAAGCGGAGGA